Molecule: ribosomal RNA, 253 nt
Filed under: uncultured bacterium
Lineage: Bacteria
Description: partial 16S ribosomal RNA
Rfam family: Bacterial small subunit ribosomal RNA
Source: RNAcentral
UACAGAGGUCCCGAGCGUUGUUCGGAUUCAUUGGGCGUAAAGGGUGCGUAGGCGGCGGGGAAAGUCUGAUGUGAAAUCCUGGGGCUCAACCCGGAAAUGGCAUUGGAAACUACCUUGCUGGAGGAUUUGAGGGGGGAUUGGAAUACUUGGUGUAGCAGUGAAAUGCGUAGAUAUCAAGUGGAACACCAGUGGCGAAGGCGAAUCCCUGGAAAAUACCUGACACUGAGGCACGAAAGCUAGGGGAGCAAACAGG